AGGAUUACUUAUACCAAUACUUUAUUUUAAAAUCUCUGGAAAUGAGACCAUCUGAAAUCAGAUAAAUAUGGCUUCAGAUACCAGCUCUGGCACUACUAGUUGCAUGAUCAUCAAUAUGUUACUUCUCUGUGCCUUAGUUUCCACAUCUGAAAAUUGAGGGUAAGAGUCCCUCUCUAGAUUUGUGAAUGGGAUGAACACAGGAUUUUAAGUACGGUUAGCCAGCAUCCAAGAUGGCCUCAAUGAUCUCUGCCUCUGGUAUUUAUGCCCUUGAGUAAUCCCAUUCCACAUGUCUCGGGUUGGUCUGUGUGUCUUAUAGAAUAUGGCUUGAAGUGAGGUUAUGUGGCUUCUGAAGCUAUCACAAUGUCAUAAAGGACACUGUGACUUCUGUCUUGCUCCAUUUCUGGGGUCACUUGCACUAGAGGAAGUCAGCUACUAAAUUACAAAGAAAUUCCAGCAACCACAAGGAGAGGUCCACAAAGUGAGAGAUUGAACCCUCGAGCUAACAAGCAUGUGAGUGAGACAUGUUGGAAGUGGAUUCUCCAGCUCCAGUCAAGCCUUCAGAUGAAUGCAGCUCCAGCCAACAUCUCACUGCAGCUUUAUGAGAGCCUCUGAGCUGGAGCCACUAGGCCAAGCUGUUCCCAAAUUCCUGACUCUCAGAAACUUGUGCAUAGGAAGAAUCUGGGGACCUUGUGGAAAGUGCAGCUCCCAGACACCUGCCUCAACUGACUCUGUGGAUGUGGAGCGGGCCCUGCCACUCCCCAUUUUUAACCUACUGGGGAGAGAACGGGAGGCAAAACUACAAACCUGAAAAUAAAGUGGCUAAGUGGCUUCUCAAACUCUUUCCAAGUCUCUAAACACCGCUGAGUCUGGAUUGUCACUGUGCUCUACAGAGGAAACGAAGACCAAGAAUUAAGCAGCUCGAUUUUCCAGUGCAGACUGUUUGACCUUUGUGACUAGUAAACCACUCCUUUUAUUAAGGCCAAAUCUGCAAAAUCUGUCUUAAAGAAAAUGGUCAGUCUUUCCUUUCUUCUAAACAUCUCUGAUUUUUUCAUCUUGUUUCCUGACUAUUCACAGACAGCAACAAUAACAGAUUCUGGAAAGAAGGAUUUGUAAUGAGGAAAUCAAGGCAGUGAGAUAAAGCAACUUGCCUGAGGUCACCCAGUUGGCAAGCUGGGGCACAGAUUUUCAGAGGUUUCUGGGAUUCCAAACCCUGUGCUCUCGGGCAUUUGUCUGAGAAAACUCUCAGGUAACACACUCUUCCCCUUCCAGUAUGUGUAUAUA
Molecule: long non-coding RNA, 1281 nt
Filed under: Homo sapiens (human)
Lineage: Eukaryota; Metazoa; Chordata; Mammalia; Primates; Hominidae
Description: HSALNT0330311
Source: RNAcentral